Molecule: ribosomal RNA, 253 nt
Filed under: uncultured bacterium
Lineage: Bacteria
Description: partial 16S ribosomal RNA
Rfam family: Archaeal small subunit ribosomal RNA
Source: RNAcentral
UACCAGCACCCCGAGUGGUCGGGGCGAUUAUUGGGCCUAAAGCAUCCGUAGCCGGUCAUGCAAGUCCUCCGUUAAAUCCACCUGCUUAACAGAUGGGCUGCGGAGGAUACUACAAGGCUAGGAGGCGGAAGAGGCAAGCGGUACUCAGUGGGUAGGGGUAAAAUCCUCUGAUCCAUUGAAGACCACCAGUGGCGAAGGCGGCUUGCCAAUACGCGCUCGACGGUGAGGGAUGAAAGCUGGGGGAGCAAACCGG